GCCUACAGACCCUAUAGAAGAACAGUUUCCUGUCCUAAAUGUGACCCGGUAUUAUAAUGCCAACGGGGAUGUAGUGGAAGAGGAGGAGAACUCUUGCACCUACUAUGAGUGCCACUACCCUCCCUGCACAGUGAUUGAGAAGCAGCUCCGGGAGUUCAACAUCUGUGGGCGCUGCCAGGUGGCCCGGUACUGCGGCUCCCAGUGCCAGCAGAAGGACUGGCCUGCCCACAAGAAGCACUGUCGGGAGAGGAAGCGUCCCUUCCAGCAUGAGCUUGAGCCAGAGCGAUGACGGGCAGGGGAGCCACACAUACUCACAGCCCCCGGGCUCUACCCUGGGCACAGCAGAGACAGACUGGUGGUUGAACCUGGAGGUGCCAAAAAAGCCAGCUGCGGGCCCAGGACAGCUGCCGUGAGACUCCCGAUGUCACAGGCAGUCUGUGUGGUUACAGCGCCCCUCAGUGUUCAUCUCCAGCAGAGACAACGGAGGAGGCUCCCACCAGGACGGUUCUCAUUAUUUAUAUGUUAAUAUGUUUGUAAACUCAUGUACAGUUUUUUUUGGGGGGGAGGCAAUGGGAAGGGUAGAAAUUACAAAUAGAAUCAUUUGCUGUAAUCCUUAAAUGGCAAACGGUCAGGCCACGUGACUAAAAACUGUCCUGUUGUCGAAGCUUCUCCCCUGGGCCGCCGGGAGCCCCGUGGAGCGCGGCCUGCACGGGAGUUGUGUCCACAAAGGCAAAGUAAAGGGGUGGAAUCAUC
Molecule: long non-coding RNA, 753 nt
Filed under: Homo sapiens (human)
Lineage: Eukaryota; Metazoa; Chordata; Mammalia; Primates; Hominidae
Description: HSALNT0157155
Source: RNAcentral